This 253-nucleotide ribosomal RNA is filed under the name uncultured bacterium. RNAcentral describes it as "partial 16S ribosomal RNA". It matches the Rfam family "Bacterial small subunit ribosomal RNA", at positions 524 to 776 of the family's 1533-position model. The record is from RNAcentral.
UACGUAGGGGGCUAGCGUUGUCCGGAGUCAUUGGGCGUAAAGCGCGUGUAGGCGGUCCGGUAAGUCCGCUGUGAAAGUCGGGGGCUCAACCCUCGAAUGCCGGUGGAUACUGUCGGGCUAGAGUGCGGAAGAGGCGAGUGGAAUUCCUGGUGUAGCGGUGAAAUGCGCAGAUAUCAGGAGGAACACCAAUGGCGAAGGCAGCUCGCUGGGACGGUACUGACGCUGAGACGCGAAAGCGUGGGGAGCAAACAGG